RNAcentral lists this ribosomal RNA (99 nucleotides) under Nannospalax galili (Upper Galilee mountains blind mole rat). The record is from RNAcentral. Lineage: Eukaryota; Metazoa; Chordata; Mammalia; Rodentia; Spalacidae.
GACUACAGCCAUAUCACGCUGAACGUGACUGAUCUCAUCUGAUCUUGGAAGCUAGGUGGGGUUGGGCCUGGUUAGUACUUGGAUGGGACACUACAUUUU